GGGCGGUUAGCUCAGGGGUAGAGCACUGUCUUCACACGGCAGGGGUCGCUGGUUCGAAGCCAGCACCGCCCACCA
RNAcentral lists this transfer RNA (75 nucleotides) under Gammaproteobacteria bacterium. RNAcentral describes it as "tRNA-Val". It matches the Rfam family "tRNA". From Rfam's summary of the family: Transfer RNA (tRNA) molecules are approximately 80 nucleotides in length. Their secondary structure includes four short double-helical elements and three loops (D, anti-codon, and T loops). Further hydrogen bonds mediate the characteristic L-shaped molecular structure. tRNAs have two regions of fundamental functional importance: the anti-codon, which is responsible for specific mRNA codon recognition, and the 3' end, to which the tRNAs corresponding amino acid is attached (by aminoacyl-tRNA synthetases). tRNAs cope with the degeneracy of the genetic code in two manners: having more than one tRNA (with a specific anti-codon) for a particular amino acid; and 'wobble' base-pairing, i.e. permitting non-standard base-pairing at the 3rd anti-codon position. Lineage: Bacteria; Pseudomonadati; Pseudomonadota; Gammaproteobacteria. The record is from RNAcentral.